RNAcentral lists this ribosomal RNA (433 nucleotides) under uncultured bacterium. RNAcentral's name for it is "bacterial SSU rRNA". It matches the Rfam family "Bacterial small subunit ribosomal RNA", at positions 29 to 507 of the family's 1533-position model. The record is from RNAcentral.
AACGAACGCUGGCGGCAGGCCUAACACAUGCAAGUCGAACGCCGUAGCAAUACGGAGUGGCAGACGGGUGAGUAACACGUGGGAACGUACCUUUCGGUUCGGAAUAACUCAGGGAAACUUGAGCUAAUACCGGAUACGUGCGAGAGCAGAAAGAUUUAUCGCCGAAAGAUCGGCCCGCGUCCGAUUAGCUUGUUGGUGAGGUAAUGGCUCACCAAGGCGACGAUCGGUAGCUGGUCUGAGAGGAUGAUCAGCCACACUGGGACUGAGACACGGCCCAGACUCCUACGGGAGGCAGCAGUGGGGAAUAUUGGACAAUGGGCGCAAGCCUGAUCCAGCCAUGCCGCGUGAGUGAUGAAGGCCCUAGGGUUGUAAAGCUCUUUCGCCAGGGACGAUAAUGACGGUACCUGGAUAAGAAGCCCCGGCUAACUUCGUG